AAAGGUUUGGUCCUGACCUUAAAGUCAGCUGAUACUUAACUUAUACAUGCAAGUCUCCGCACUCCUGUGAGAACGCCCUAAAUUCCCUCCUGGGAUAAGGAGCUGGUAUCAGGCACAUUUUAUAGCCCAAGACACCUAGCUAUGCCACAUCCUCAAGGAACUUCAGCAGUAAUUAAAAUUGAAUAUAAGCGUCAGCUAGAUUCAGUUAAAGUAUAGCAGAGUCGGCUAAACUGGUGCCAGCCGCCGCGGUUAUACCAGUUGACCCAAGUUGACCUAAUUCGGCGUAAAGCGUGGUUAAAGUGUUUUUUAAUUAAAAUUAAAUUUUCACUAAGCUGUGACACGCUUGUGCAAGAGAAACCCAUAAACGAAAGUUAUUUUAAUCAUAGUAACUUGAAGCCACGACAGUUAAGGUACAAACUGGGAUUAGAUACCCCACUAUGCUUAACCGUAAACCUUUAUUUACACCCUCAACGCCCGGGAACUACGAGCAAAGCUUAAAACCCAAAGGACUUGACGGUACCCCACAUCCACCUAGAGGAGCCUGUCCUAUAAUCGAUAACCCCCGCUUAACCUCACCAUUUUUAGCAUAUCAGCCUGUAUACCUCCGUCGUCAGCUUACCACGUGAGCGUAAUCCAGUAAGCUUAAGGUUCUUUUACAUCAAUACGUCAGGUCAAGGUGCAGCAAACAAAAUGGAAAGAGAUGGGCUACACUUUCUAACUUAGAAAACACGAAAGACUAUUUAUGAAACCUAGUCAGAAGGCGGAUUUAGCAGUAAAAAUAAACCAGAGAGUUAUUUUUAAUUUGGCACUGGGGUGUGUACACACCGCCCGUCACCCUCUUCGAAGCCACUAAUUAGUAAAUAACAAAUUUAACGCAUUUAAGAAGAGGUAAGUCGUAACAUGGUAAGCAUACCGGAAGGUGUGCUUGGAAA
This 932-nucleotide non-coding RNA is filed under the name Agalychnis dacnicolor (Mexican giant tree frog). Its description in RNAcentral is "Pachymedusa dacnicolor 12S ribosomal RNA". It matches the Rfam family "Bacterial small subunit ribosomal RNA". The record is from RNAcentral. Lineage: Eukaryota; Metazoa; Chordata; Amphibia; Anura; Hylidae.